AGUGGCGGACGGGUGAGUAACACGUAGGUAACCUUUCAAGAAGCGGGGGACAACAUUUGGAAACAGAUGCUAAUACCGCAUAACAACGUUGUUCGCAUGAACAACGCUUAAAAGAUGGCUUCUCGCUAUCACUUCUGGAUGGACCUGCGGUGCAUUAGCUUGUUGGUGGGGUAACGGCCUACCAAGGCGAUGAUGCAUAGCCGAGUUGAGAGACUGAUCGGCCACAAUGGGACUGAGACACGGCCCAUACUCCUACGGGAGGCAGCAGUAGGGAAUCUUCCACAAUGGGCGCAAGCCUGAUGGAGCAACACCGCGUGAGUGAAGAAGGGUUUCGGCUCGUAAAGCUCUGUUGUUAAAGAAGAACACGUAUGAGAGUAACUGUUCAUACGUUGACGGUAUUUAACCAGAAAGUCACGGCUAACUACGUGCCAGCAGCCGCGGUAAUACGUAGGUGGCAAGCGUUAUCCGGAUUUAUUGGGCGUAAAGAGAGUGCAGGCGGUUUUCUAAGUCUGAUGUGAAAGCCUUCGGCUUAACCGGAGAAGUGCAUCGGAAACUGGAUAACUUGAGUGCAGAAGAGGGUAGUGGAACUCCAUGUGUAGCGGUGGAAUGCGUAGAUAUAUGGAAGAACACCAGUGGCGAAGGCGGCUACCUGGUCUGCAACUGACGCUGAGACUCGAAAGCAUGGGUAGCGAACAGGAUUAGAUACCCUGGUAGUCCAUGCCGUAAACGAUGAGUGCUAGGUGUUGGAGGGUUUCCGCCCUUCAGUGCUGGA
RNAcentral lists this ribosomal RNA (772 nucleotides) under uncultured bacterium. RNAcentral describes it as "bacterial SSU rRNA". It matches the Rfam family "Bacterial small subunit ribosomal RNA", at positions 94 to 850 of the family's 1533-position model. The record is from RNAcentral.